AAAUUAUGUUGGAAGGACAUCUCUUGAUCAGCUGCUUGUAUCUCUCCCAGGCUUCAUAGAGGGACUCUCCCUCUUUCUGUCUGAAGGUCUGGACUUCCACUCUAAGCUU
This is a small nucleolar RNA of Arachis duranensis, 109 nucleotides long. The record is from RefSeq and is a predicted model, not a curated record. Lineage: Eukaryota; Viridiplantae; Streptophyta; Magnoliopsida; Fabales; Fabaceae.